GGCCAAUCAAACCGGGAGAUAGCUGGUUCUCCCCGAAAGCUAUUUAGGUAGCGCCUCGUGAAUUCAUCUCCGGGGGUAGAGCACUGUUUCGGCUAGGGGGCCAUCCCGGCUUACCAACCCGAUGCAAACUGCGAAUACCGGAGAAUGUUAUCACGGGAGACACACGGCGGGUGCUAACGUCCGUCGUGAAGAGGGAAACAACCCAGACCGCCAGCUAAGGUCCCAAAGUCAUGGUUAAGUGGGAAACGAUGUGGGAAGGCCCAGACAGCCAGGAUGUUGGCUUAGAAGCAGCCAUCAUUUAAAGAAAGCGUAAUAGCUCACUGGUCGAGUCGGCCUGCGCGGAAGAUGUAACGGGGCUAAACCAUGCACCGAAGCUGCGGCAGCGAACGUAUCACCCAAGACAACUUUACGGAGUUGACGAUUGACGGAGCGAAGCGACGUCAAAGCGUUCAUUAAAGUCGAGUUGGCUUAGGGAUACGUUCGUUGGGUAGGGGAGCGUUCUGUAAGCCUGUGAAGGUGUGUCGUGAGGC
RNAcentral lists this ribosomal RNA (530 nucleotides) under Salmonella enterica. RNAcentral describes it as "partial 23S ribosomal RNA". It matches the Rfam family "Bacterial large subunit ribosomal RNA", at positions 827 to 1269 of the family's 2925-position model. RNAcentral also lists the same sequence under 1 other name. The record is from RNAcentral. Lineage: Bacteria; Pseudomonadati; Pseudomonadota; Gammaproteobacteria; Enterobacterales; Enterobacteriaceae.